CCCUGCAUCUCUGCAUCCUUUGGAGCAGCUUAGGUUAGUUCCAGAACUUUUGUUCCUUCUCUCAUCAUUUAGGUGUUCCUUCUUCUUCAUUUUUGUUCUACCAUAUUUCACCUGUCUGGUUCCCCACGGACCUUUCAUCUCUUAUUUCUCUCAAUUUUUUUGGGAUUUUUAGGAUUUUUGCUUGAAAUAUCUUCUGGCACCUCCACCUCUAGC
RNAcentral lists this long non-coding RNA (213 nucleotides) under Elaeis guineensis (African oil palm). RNAcentral's name for it is "long non-coding RNA (EGUI_LNC067428)". The record is from RNAcentral. Lineage: Eukaryota; Viridiplantae; Streptophyta; Magnoliopsida; Arecales; Arecaceae.